UUGAUUCGUUUGUUUACGAUUCCACUCAGACAUGCUAAUUGACAAAAUACGAGGUUUCGGGUCCCCCGGCGGGCGCCUGGUUCCGGCGGCCUUUUCAGGGCCUUCCGGGGCGUCAACCCGCCGAGGCAACAGUAAGGGUAUAGGUUCACAGGGGUUUGGGAGUGGUGAGACUCGGUAAUGAUCCCUCCGCUGGUUCACCAACGGAGA
This 207-nucleotide unclassified non-coding RNA is filed under the name uncultured fungus. RNAcentral describes it as "sequence contains ITS1". Lineage: Eukaryota; Fungi. The record is from RNAcentral.